UGACCUCAAAUCAGGUAGGAUUACCCGCUGAACUUAAGCAUAUCAAUAAGCGGAGGAAAAGAAACUAACAAGGAU
Molecule: ribosomal RNA, 75 nt
Filed under: Phellinus lundellii
Lineage: Eukaryota; Fungi; Basidiomycota; Agaricomycetes; Hymenochaetales; Hymenochaetaceae
Description: partial 28S ribosomal RNA
Rfam family: Eukaryotic large subunit ribosomal RNA
Source: RNAcentral